RNAcentral lists this ribosomal RNA (253 nucleotides) under uncultured bacterium. RNAcentral describes it as "partial 16S ribosomal RNA". It matches the Rfam family "Bacterial small subunit ribosomal RNA", at positions 524 to 776 of the family's 1533-position model. The record is from RNAcentral.
UACGGGGGGGGCAAGCGUUGUUCGGAAUUACUGGGCGUAAAGGGCUCGUAGGCGGCCAACUAAGUCAGACGUGAAAUCCCUCGGCUUAACCGGGGAACUGCGUCUGAUACUGGAUGGCUUGAAUCCGGGAGAGGGAUGCGGAAUUCCAGGUGUAGCGGUGAAAUGCGUAGAUAUCUGGAGGAACACCGGUGGCGAAAGCGGCAUCCUGGACCGGCAUUGACGCUGAGGAGCGAAAGCCAGGGGAGCAAACGGG